Sapajus apella (tufted capuchin) is the source of this 6023-nucleotide long non-coding RNA. RefSeq lists it as uncharacterized. The record is from RefSeq and is a predicted model, not a curated record. The transcript is spliced from 3 exons. NCBI's taxonomy places the organism in Eukaryota, Metazoa, Chordata, Mammalia, Primates, Cebidae.
CCCAGUUGCCAAUAUCUCAGCCUUGAAACAGCCAGCUGGGGGCUGCUCUCUCUCAAUCCCCUUGCACGCUUGCAGGCUGCCUGUGCUUAGAAGCAAUGCUCCCCCUGCAUUUAAAUCCAGCCCCCCCUUUCUUGACCUCCCUUCCACUCUAGUCCCACUAUACUCCUGUGGGAGCUCCCUGUCACCGUGGAUUUUUCUAGACGUAUUUUAUUGAAACCACAGAGGGAAGACGAACCCUCACACCUGGGCUCCACCCCACUGGGGGGUGGUAAAGAAAAAAUCAGACCCCGUUCUGGCUUAGUCCCUGCCGUUUCAGGCCCUAUUUCUUAUAUAUUGUACAAAAGGUGGAGGGGGUGGGGAUCUUUUUUUUCUUUUCAGAACGCAGCAGCCUGUUCUGAAGGCGAAUCGUUGGAGGACUGACAGUAAUGCAUUUUUUCCUAUUGAAAACAGAAGCUACUGUAAUGCUUUCAAAUAUAUGCAAAUGAUACAUGUGGUUAGUGGUUUGGCAAAUCUUGAUUACAAUAUAAACUACCCAAGUAAAAGUGCCUUCGUCCUAAAUUUGUCUCUCGAUUACAAUUCCAAUUGAUUUUAUUUUAUUGUCAACAUUGUUAAUGAUAAAAAUAGAGUCGUUUUACAGUUAUUUUUACUUUCUGGAAGGAGGCAAUUAGAGUUCUAAUCAGGAAUACACAAAAAUCUCCCAUGAUUAACUGCAGUACUUUGUUCAAAUUGCUGCUAUAAAAUUCAGAACAAUUUGCCUGUAAUGAUUAUGGACUGGGUUUAUUUUGGGAGGUGGAAUAAAAGUGGAUAUAGCAUAAAUUAUCCUCUAAUUAUACACCAGUGUCGCCUCAAUUAUCCUCUUAUCAAAAUGGUUGUCUAACUGCCGCAUUUAGUUUCAAUUCUCUCCUUUUUUUCUAUAAAAAGAACUUCAUACCUUGUUAUUAUUAAUCCAUUUAUUAUUUGCAAGGGGAUUUAUAUCCGCACAUCCAGGUGGUAGAACCACUUCUCUUUCAAAGAUGGACUGGGGAAAGACAUUAAGUUCGGAGCAGCCCAAGGCUGCGGAUCUAGACUUUCUCCCUCCGGUCUCCAGACCCACGCUUGUCCAGGCAGCCAAGCAGAGACAGCGGAGCCCCGGUGCGCAGUUCAGGCCUGGCCAACAGAUCCAGAGAAUGAACCUCAUGGAAAGCUGCAAAAAGAACUUGGGGAGGGUCAGGCAGUCUGUUUUCUUGUACCCAGCCAAGGCACUCUGAAGCCAUUAUAGAGCCUGUACUGCUUGACAUCCAAGGCAGUGCUAAUCCUGCACUCACAUGUUUUCAUGAAGAUUUUAGUUGCCUGCUUAGACAAAGGAGAUCAAAGAAAGUUGCUGAAACAGAAGGAAAAUGCACUCCCUUGGAGAAGCAUGACCUUUUUGUGUUGCUUCCUACUGCUGUUGUUGAGCUCCUUGGACCCUGCCUCCUGGACACCAUCAUCAAGAAGACUUUAUGGAUGGGCCAUCCACUCCCUGAGAGAAGAGGAGCAUCAGCUGCAGUUUCUCUCUAGAUUGCGUUCUUCAUUUUGAGUAAUGACUGUCAGCAGGGUCAGAUUAAAGACAAAACAAUGGGACAACUGCUUGGAGGACUAAAUUAUAAAGGCACCAACAUGUCAGUAGUAUGAUUUAUCAGCCCUUCUCUCAGAGAGGAAUCUGUGUGGGGUUGGAAGGAAUGGUUUGUUAAAUUCCUUAAGGGUGGAAAGCAGGUCAUAAUCAGAAUAUAGAGGAAUAUGCUGUUUGGCUGCAGGGUUUGUUUUUCUUACUAGGAUACAUAAACAGGGACUAUAGCUAGAUUGUUUAUGACCCCAGAAGGUAGGAUGAGCACCCCCAUGAUCCUCUUGCUCAGUUCUUACCCAUACAGACCUCAACCUUUCCUCUAAUAAAGAUUGAACAAGUAGUGAUUUGAGGGAGACACCAAUUCAUUAGCCUACAUGUCUCUUCUCUACACUCUAGGGCUUCGAUAAUAAAGACACUGGCAGGCUGUCUGUCUUCCACUUCUAUAAUGUGAGCCCUUAAGCACUCUUCGUUCAGUUGGGGGUGAGGGUCAUUGCUCACAGAGCAGUUCAAGUCUUUACCUAGGGACCUGGUGGUCAAACUCUGUAUUGAGUUCAUUAGAUUACUGGAGACACAAGGUAGAGCUGGGCCCUUCAAAAAUACUUGGCUAAAGGAUAACAUUGCUCGUUAUUUGUAGAUAAAGCCAUCAUGGAACAUGCCUGGAAUCAUGAAAUAUGGAACCAGUAGUCAUGUUUAAUAAUGCAACUAACAGUCAAGUACCUACUGGACAUUGAAGAGACUUAGGGGCAAGAUAGAUAUGGUACCUGCCCUCAUGGAGUUUACACCAUAGCUUUCCCGUAGGUAUGAAGAACAGUGGCUACAGCUAACAAAUGGCUACAAAGAUAUUCUUGAGCCAGUGUUCCAAUUAUUAGGCUAAUUCCUGUUUCCUUAAUCAUGCCUACUGACCAUGUUCUAUAAGCCUGCAUUCUAUAAAUGGCCUAUGAGCAUGGGCUGUUUCCCCCCAGCAAAUUUUGCAAAGUCCUGUGGUACCAGGGAAAGGGCUUAAGAUUAGCAGGGCCUCUGGGGAAGGACAUAUGAAGUGACUUGGGUCAGGAAACAGGAAGGGAUAGGGUUCAAGAAACAGCUAUUGCUUUUGUUCUAUAUAGGAAACUGCAAUGUGAAAAAUGCUGGGCUGGGAAUUUUGAGACAUGGGUUUUAGUUUGUGUUCUAAUACUAACAAGCUGUGUGACUGUGAGUAAGACAUUGCACAUUCCACUUGGAUGCUCCUUGAGUGUCUCCAAACCCCUCCUACUCUAAAACGUUAAGAUCAGGCCCUAGGCUACAGCUGGCCAGUUUGUAAUUUUCCUGUUUCUAUGCUGUUAGGCCAAAUAGAUCUUCAACAGUUACUUGAUUAUUACUUUUUUUCUGAAGUGGGUGUUUUGUCAAUGUUUUAGGAUACAGUGAGUCUGCUUCUCCCCUUUGAAGUUAGGAAGGUUGCAGCAACAUACACUGUAGAACGUAUGGAAGCUUUAUUCCCGUUUUUCCCACCCCCCGUCUUUCUCCCACUCCUUCUCUUCCUCAUAUUUCUAUUGAACAUAUGCCAUUGCCAUGUACCAGUUAUGUGCUAGGUUUAGAGACACAAGAUAAACCUGAUACUUUCCCAGACUCCAGGAGACAAAAACCCUCCUUUUUUCAUCUGCUGGCUUUCUCUUUGGAAAGAAUCAGUGAUGUCCCAGGGGAGUGUGCCCAUGUUCCAGGGUAACCAACUACAGAGAGAUGCCCCAUUCUACUCAAGCAACUUUAGAGUACCUUGAGAUCCACAUCAGAUAAUUAUUCAGGGCUGGGCAUGGUGGUGCACACUUGUAAUUGCAGCACUUCCGGAGGCCAAAGCAGCAGAUUUCUUGAGCCCAGAAGCUCAAGACCCACUUGGGCAACAUGGCAAAACCCCAGCUCUGCAAAAAAAAAUACAAAAAUUAGCUGUAGUUGGUGGCCUGUGACUGUAGUACAAGCUACUCAGGAGACUGAGGUGGGGGGAUUGCUUGAGCCUGGGAGGUUGAGGCUGCAGUGAGCCGAGAUCAUGCCAUUGUGCCAUUGCACUCCAGCCUGGAUGACGUAGGGAGACUCUAUCCCAGAAAAAAAAAAAAGAUAAUCAUUCUAUCCUAGAGUCAUUGUGGAAAGAUCUAUCUUCAGAUAUAAGGAAGAAAUAGUCUUUUAUUUCUUAGGAUAAAUCUGUAGAAGGACAGUCCUUCAGACAGUGAAGGCCCUGACUACUUUAUACUCUGUAACCCAUCCCUUCCCUGGUAGGGAGGACUACUUCUUAAACUUACAAAGUACCUCUAGGCAAAUAGACAUUUUCAUAUAUACUGUGCUUCAUAUAUCCCUAUGUCUGAUGACCUCUUUAAAAAGGAAAGGAAAAAGCCUAAUCACACAAAAAGAUGUUGCUAUUCUUACCCUGUUGUGAAUCCUAUAUAAGCAAAUUCAUAUCUUUGUUUUUUCCAACAUUAGCAGAUCUAUUUGAUGUAUAUCUCUGAGUGCAGAAAAUAUUUUACAGAAAGAUAAAUCUAUGGAAUUUCAAAUUCAGAAUUGUUGAUACCUGCUAUUUGGUUUGAGAAUUUUGUCCUGGGAAAUAGUAUUAGGGAUUUCAAUUUCUGACUUAAAUGGUAGAAUUAGUUACUCUUAACUCUUGAUUUUACUUCUGAGUUGAGGUCAAGGAACAGGCAGAUACCUUCAGUUAAUGUCUGUAUCUCUCCAUGACCAAGAGCUUUAAUUUUCUUGUCUUCAUUUUUGCAGAUGAACAUCAUUACUAAAUGGAUUGAAUAGUAUUUUAUCUUCUCUCCUUGUCCUUACUUUCCCUCUGGUAAAUAUGUUAUAAACAGUGUAAGGCUCAUAAAUUAGAAUCGCUGGUAGGACUUGGAAGAGAAACAAAGGGCCAUUGAUAACUCACACAAAUGGAAAAUCAACCCUGAAAUAAUUGACAAUAUAUUCAAAUAUUUUGGUGCAGUCUCACUCCCAUUAAGAAGAAGAGACUCAGUAAAUCUAUAUGACCCUAAACAUUCUAAUGAAAAGGGGAACAUUCUGUCAAUCAGCCCAUAUUUCUAAAUAUCUUGAUAUUGGCCAUUGUAAAGACAAACGUACAGAUGAUGGACUUGUCUUUCUACUUCUCAUUUGCAUGGUCUGGAGCCUUGUACCUCCAGCCAUUGACUCUAAGGCAAUUUAUAUUUGUUUCCUCUUCCCUCUUGAGAGAAAACAAAAAUCUCACUUUUCCAAGCAAUUAAAACUCUUCUGCUUCAGCUAGGAUGAAAGAAUUUGGAGUUCUGUCUCCUUGUAUAUAAUUGCAUGUUUCAUCUUCCUUGUUUUAAUGAUUGACAGAAAACUGAUAAACUGAGACAUCUUUGAAUCAAGGUUGAAUAUACUCUCUUGGUGGCCCCAUUGCUAAUUUGUUUGACUAUUUUGCAGGAUUUCUUUCUCUGUAAUGGAAAGGUUUAUUAAAUAUGAGGGGUGCAAAGCUUUCUGAAUACUAAUGAACUUAUUUGCCAAAAUUUAAAUGUUCUUCUUGUCAGUGAAUGUCUGUCUCUCUUAACAGGAUCCAAAUUGAAUAAUGAAGAAAAUUAGACUCUAUUGUACCCUCAGGAGAAAUUGUGGUGAAUCGUAAUAGAAUACAGAGGGGGAAAGGGGUCACAUUUUAGAAAAAAGAGUAGAUAAAUUGGAUUAUAAAAAAAGGGAUUAACUCUGGAAAAACUCCAUUCUUUUCAAAAAAAUGUACUAAUAGUCAUUCAAUGAGCAGGAUUUCCCACUGCACAAGCAUCUAUACCUUUGGCCAGUGUAGAAUGAGAGUAAGGUCAUAAUCAUAGGGAGAUGCAUGCUAGGUUUCAGUGGUUAUAAUUUACUAACCUCAUUCCCAUAUAAGGCUUUUAUAUGCCUAUGAUGGAAUGGGAAAAUCAAUAAACUUGGAAAAGGAACACUAUUCUUCAGAGAAGUUCAAUGAGAGAUAGUUGAGUUGGGGAAAUUGCCUCAAUUCUUCUUUUAAGCAUGUAAUAAGGCUCUCUCUUUGUAUGUUUACUUCCAUUGCCUUGGUGUUAUCACUGAUAAAGUCAAUGAUCACAAUGCCUUUGCCUUGGCAGCACCUGAGGGACACUGGAGGAACCAGGUAGUUGUACUCGUGGCCAAAGAGGAAAGCUGCCAGAACUUUAGCAGCCACACAAGUGGCCAAACAUUGUCAGGAAUAAAAGUAGUGUGUGUGUGUAGUGAAAUGAAGUGAUGGAGGGAAAGUGAAGGAGAAUACAAAGGUGGGACUGUGCAGAGAUGGGAGUUCAUCCCUGUCCUACACUUGAAAUAGGAAGGCAUGGACUGGAAAAGGAUUAGGUGAGGAAGGAUCCCCAAGUAGAGAAAAUAAAGGGAAGGCUGCAUGCCUCCAGUGUUUGCUAAAAUUAAUUCUCCUGAGAUUUCAGGGGGAGAAAUGAUCAGGAGAAAGGGAAAACAGCCUCAAAGCCUGUAAGGGUUCAAA